RNAcentral lists this non-coding RNA (21 nucleotides) under Caenorhabditis elegans. The record is from RNAcentral. Lineage: Eukaryota; Metazoa; Nematoda; Chromadorea; Rhabditida; Rhabditidae.
UAUCUUAUGCAUCUUCUUUCA